GAUGAACGCUGGCGGCGUGCCUAAUACAUGCAAGUCGAGCGAACGGACGAGAAGCUUGCUUCUCUGAUGUUAGCGGCGGACGGGUGAGUAACACGUGGAUAACCUACCUAUAAGACUGGGAUAACUUCGGGAAACCGGAGCUAAUACCGGAUAAUAUUUUGAACCGCAUGGUUCAAAAGUGAAAGACGGUCUUGCUGUCACUUAUAGAUGGAUCCGCGCUGCAUUAGCUAGUUGGUAAGGUAACGGCUUACCAAGGCAACGAUGCAUAGCCGACCUGAGAGGGUGAUCAGCCACACUGGAACUGAGACACGGUCCAGACUCCUACGGGAGGCAGCAGUAGGGAAUCUUCCGCAAAGGGCGAAAGCCUGACGGAGCAACGCCGCGUGAGUGAUGAAGGUCUUCGGAUCGUAAAGCUCUGUUAUUAGGGAAGAACAGAUGUGUAAGUAACUGUGCACAUCUUGACGGUACCUAAUCAGAAAGCCACGGCUAACUACGUG
This 497-nucleotide ribosomal RNA is filed under the name uncultured bacterium. RNAcentral's name for it is "partial 16S ribosomal RNA". It matches the Rfam family "Bacterial small subunit ribosomal RNA", at positions 28 to 507 of the family's 1533-position model. The record is from RNAcentral.